This is a long non-coding RNA of Helianthus annuus (common sunflower), 583 nucleotides long. RefSeq lists it as uncharacterized. The record is from RefSeq and is a predicted model, not a curated record. NCBI's taxonomy places the organism in Eukaryota, Viridiplantae, Streptophyta, Magnoliopsida, Asterales, Asteraceae. The transcript has 2 exons.
ACUCACCUCUUCUUGAGGUGUUGUAAGAAAUGCAUGUAUGCUAAAUGGUUGCGAUGCCUAACCUUUUAUGCACUUUAAUUUUGGAUCAAUUUUAAGUCCAUCCAUGCAUAACAACUCAUAUCUACCAACACUUCACAACACAAAACUUUCUUCUUCUUCUUCCUUGAAAUCUGCCAAGAACACCCACAAUCACCUUCAUUUUGAUCUUCAUAAAUCAUAAAUUUUAUUACUUGCAUGCCUCUUUCAAGAUGAUCAAAGACACUUGCAAGUUAAUCGAAGUUAUUUGAAGCAUUUCUCAAGUCUUGGAGCUUUUGGGUCUUCAUCUUUUCAUCAUCUUUUCUAGUUGUUCAUCCCUAGCCAAGUGCUAGUAGAAAUUAGUGGAUGGCCUCAGGAAAGUGUGUCUGUGGGAAUGUCAAGUCAAGCUGUGGGAUGUUACCCUAUGUUUAGUCCUUAUGUUUGAAACAAUGUAUUUGGAAACUUGUGUUUUGGUACAACGAUGUCAACCUUGGUACUUUUUCGAACAAACGUAUGGUUGUAAAUUUGCUUUAAAUAAAUGCAUGGAUGAACAACUCGUUAUGUUUUA